Molecule: long non-coding RNA, 1898 nt
Organism: Gallus gallus (chicken)
Lineage: Eukaryota; Metazoa; Chordata; Aves; Galliformes; Phasianidae
Source: Ensembl
AAAAAAUAAAAAUAAAAAAGAAGAGAAAAAUAAAAAAGAAUGAAGUGUGUGUAGCCUUUACACACAGUGCAGCUUCUCUCUCCCAUGCUAUAUAUAUGUGAUAUAAAGAUGAGGGAGGAAGGCACUAAAACUCACUGAAGAAAUGGCUAAACCAAAUGGAAACUGCACCACACCUAGGGAAAAAAAAAAAAAAAAAAAAAAAGCAGUUUGAUUUCUCUCAGUUUUGCUCUCAAUCUUUGACCUGGAGGGAGCACAACCAGUGGAUGAAAUGGAGAAACUGAUAAUCAUCACACCGCAAAUAGAGCUUAGAAUAAAAGUAAAUUUCUCAUUUCAGUUCUGCUUAAGCAGGAUCAUAUUCACUCGUGGGUGUUAGUCCAGGCAUUAGUGAGAAGCCAUUGAAAAUCCUAUAUAACUGUUUGUUGAACGUCUCUUCUAUUUAUUUAGCAUUAAUUUUAUUUAUGCUAUUUAAUGCUUUCCAGCUUGCGCAUACCUCUGAGUGUCACCAUGAACGUAUGUACAUAAGAAGCACAUGCUGUCAGCUUCCAGCCAAAGUUCUACUUGUUCAGGCAUAAAUUACGAAACCAAAACUAAUGUGAUUACAAAUCCACCUUUUUUUUUUUUUUCCUAAUUACUUGAAGUCAGUAAGACUUGCAGGCACAAGUCAAGAUUUUAAAGUGUGCAUGUAAUGUGCUUUAAAUGCUGUCUAAAGCUACGUGACAGCUUUGCCUCAGAGUCUGUUAUCUGGGAGAUCAAGUCCUAUCCAGCCUUGAAAUCUAUGAAUUCCUUUACUACAGUGGUUCAAAAACAUACAGGUCUUCGGAUCAGAUUAUUGCUUUUGCUUCUUCCUCAAUAUCUACACUGUUUUAUUAAUUUAAAAUAACACAUGGAAGCUUUCCUUGUAGAAACCUAAUUUUUUUAACGUAGACAGUUAUUUAAAGCCCAACUCAUUUCCUGAAAAUUAGACAAUAACCCUUAUAGAGAUGGAUAACUGAAGGCAGAAGAUUGUUUGAAUGGCCAAAGGAUUGUAUUCAUUCAUGGCUGUUAGUCCAAACAUCAGUGAGAUGUCAGUAUGAACUCUACAUAACUCUUUGCAGAAUCUCUCUUCUAUUUAUUUAACAUUAAUUUUAUUAUGUUUUUUUAUGCUUUCCAGUCUCAUGCAUGUAUCCAGUUGUCAUCACAAAGCACGUACAGCCUCCAGCAAAUUAUUAAAUUUGGGGUAUGAUCUCAGGUACCUGUUGGAGAACUCUGUCUUGAUCUUAAAACUGUCUUUCCUUUCCUUGCAACCCAGAAAAGCCCAGCUCCAACAGUAAAGUGCAGGCUGCAUAUCAUUGUAAUCCCAAGCAGUGAUUUCAGUCAGAUUUCCCUCUUGCUUGCAGAUACGUUUGCUGUUGAUGCCUUGAUUCCUGUACUGCCUUGGAAUCUGAUCAUAACAAAAACACAUCUACUUCCCUGAAUUUCACCUGAAAUUUGCCUGGAAGCAGAAGCAGAAACUCUAAACAAUUUGGUCUUCUUUCUUCUAUCUCCAGACUGUAAUUUUUGAUUUAUUUUGCUUCUAGAUCCCAUUGCUUUCUUGUGUCCUGUAUCAGGAAAGCCUUUUUGUAUAGAAAUGAGCUUUUCCUCAAAUGUACUUGAAAGGAGUUACGAAUUUCUGUUGCUAGCCAUGGAUUUGGUCUGAGAUGAAGAAAAUGUAUUGCAUAGUAAUCUGAAUUAAGAUAUAACCAGAUGCAGUUGCAAAUACAAACUCUUUGGUGCCAGGUUUUCAAGACUGCUGUGCGCUUUAACUGGGGGAAGCAAUGGGACCUAUAGCCAGAAAUGGCUAGCAGCAAGUCUUAUUCUCUUUGUUUUGGUGCAUGGGGACUGCUGGAAGACCAGUGCUGGGACUGCUUCCUUGAAUGGGG